AGAGACAGCAGACAGAAGCAGGGACGACAGACACAGUCCGGAGGGCUGUAAGCUAGGGGUGGUGGGAUCAGGUUUCUGAAACUUCCUCCACUGCCGUGUGGAUGCAAGGCAGAAGCUGGCCCAGGAGGGUCACUUAGAAGGCCACCUCUUAAAACAGAGAUGAGCAAAGACAACGGCUGACCUGGGGCAGGGGAAUUAGGGGUGGGGGAAGGGGAGAGGAGAUGCUGCCUGGGCUGGGGGCUGUCUUUCAUGAGGCAGCCAGAGGAGCCAAGGAUGGCCUCUGAAUGGGAGGCUGGGGCUGAGUCCAGCCAUCCCAGGACCUCCGGUGUGUGACUCCUGGACAUACCAGUCUUUGCCAUCCUAGCCCAGGCUGUCCCCACAUCCAAAGCUCCCCCUGUGGUCCCACCCCUGCUGCCCUUCAGAGCUGCGACCAUGGCCCUCAGGCCUGUCCACCGCCCUCGGCAACAUCAUGGCUAACCUGGGCUCCACACAUUUCUUCCAUCAGCAGACAGUGCCCCUCCGGGGGAAGCUCUGAGACCCAGCACCUAUCGGGAAAAACUCAAAGGUCCAGGCGCUGAAUCUAAGCCAGUUUAAAUAGAUUUUACUGCGACAGGGGAGACCCCACCAAGCAGGGCCAAUAUAUGUGGUCCCAGGAGGUCAAGAAAUGGUGACUUUCCGUAUCCACUCCCGUCUUUCACUGCACGAAGCCCUCGGAAGAUUAUUCUAUAGCAGUACGAUGACAGCAUCCUCCUUCUAGGAACUACAUCGUCUUCCGUCUCUGGAUGUGCCAUCUUUUACUCAGCUAGUCUACAUCUCAGGUGUUCCCCAUCUUCUGCACACAAGUAUUUGCACAUGCGUCACGUUCUUCAUUUGUGUAUUAUCUACGGCCCAGUUCUUGCUGCAGCAGCGGAAUCGAGAAGCUGCGGGAGAGACCCCGCAGCCUGCAAAGCUGAAAAUAUUUACUUCCUGGCCAUUCACAGAAAAUGUUUGCCAACCCAUGACCUAAAGCAUCAUCUCUCAGAGGGUUGGGAAGGAACCUGGAAGCUGUCCCAUUCAGAGGCGGGAGCUUCAACGGGACCCUGCGUCUUCUGCCUCCAAGGCCUGUGGUAGGGGCUGUCACAGGCUGCAGAGGAGUCCAGGAGGGAGAUGCUACAGGUAAGGCAGGAGGAUGGAGAAGAGAGAACAGACUUGAACUAGACUUAGGGUCACACCAGCAGCUGUGAGCAGCUGACGAGUGUUCCAGUGCAAGGAGAGGAGGGUGCAAGAGCCAGGGAUUAUACACUGAUUAGCCUCCAUCACCGCAGAAAUUAUCUUGCCUGUGCAUGGUGCGAGGGUCUGGAACAUACAUUUAACCAAGGCAAGGAGCGAAGUGAGAGGAAGCAAUAUUGUGGAUUGCAGGAGGUGAUGGAUGAGAUGAGAGAAGAAUCUGCAUGGUCAGAAUCUGUUUGGCAUCGGAAGGGAAGUACCCAGGAAAUUUGAGGAUCGCCUCGUCCAGUUGUCUGUGGAACUGAACUGUGAGUUGUCCAUGAGGGAUGAAUGGCAAUGCCAAUGUUUCCAGAGUUUCUGUCAUGAGGUCUCCUGGCUUGGAGAUGGAGAGGGCACACACAGGUUUCGGAUUCAAGCCUGCAGGACAGUCCUGGCUGCACCACUCAGGAACCCUGGGUGAGUCUCUUUACCCCUCACAGCCUCAGUUUUCCCUUCCUGGAAAUGGGACCACAAUCCAAACCUUGUAGAACUGCUUCAAAGAUGAAAGGAGACAUCGCAUGUGAGAUGCCGGCCCAUAGGAGCCAGGGCACGAAAGGCAGCUCCGCAUUGGGUCCCCAAAAAGUCUCCGCAGGUUGGCAGCCAAGAGAGCUACCAUUUCUUUGUUUGGAGAGAUUCCACUCCCUGGAAAGGGUAAUCCUGCAGGAAAGGAGGAGGGAGUCGUUCCAGAGUUUGGGAGAUGUCGGCUUUGACUCUGAGUGAUGCCGCCUCAAACACUUACUGUCAUACAGGAAGUUACUCAAACACAAUCAAUUAGACACCCAUAUUAGCAUAUUUGUCAUUGUAAUACAGCCGCAGAGAGGAGAUGCUGGAGACUGUUUAUUGCUGUUCUGAGCUAAUAUUUAUUAAAGUGAUUAAUAUGUUUUUCAAAUAUCUGUGACAGGCGUGGCAGGAAUUACUGAUCUCCUCCCUCGAGAGCCUGAAAGGGUGAGGGGUGGGAGUCACUUAGAGAGGGGCGGCAGGUAGGGGCCUUGGGGCCUCAGGGGACCGUGUCCUCCUCUGGGGCCCCUUUCCUGCUCGGGCCUCCUGCCUUCCAUCUUCCCCUGUCUCCUCCACCUUCAACUUCCCCUGUCUCCUCUCCUCCACCUUCAACUUCCCCCUCUACUGACCGUUCCCAUCGGCAUUCUGAGACAUCUCCCACCAUGACAAAUAGAGACCUCCCAGGAUGCCCUGUCCCCCUGCUCCUUCCUGGACCCCCUCAUCCCCAGCCAUUCUGCCAUCUUCCUCCUUCCCUCCAUAGCCAAACUCUUCAAAAGAACUCUUUUCCCUCCCUACCUCCUUUGCUCAUCUUCCAGUCUCUGCUUUUUAAAAAUCAUUACAAAAAAUUAAAAGUGGCUGGGCGCGGUGGCUCACACCUGUAAUCCCAGUACUUUUGGAGGCCAAGGCGGGAGGGAAUAACCUGAGGUCAGGAGUUCGAGACCAGCCUGGCCAACAUGGUGAAACCCUGUCUCUAUUAAAAAUACAAAAAUUAGCAGGGUGUGGUAGCUGGUGCCUGUAAUCCCAGCUACUCAGGAGGC
RNAcentral lists this long non-coding RNA (2780 nucleotides) under Homo sapiens (human). RNAcentral describes it as "HSALNT0276551". Lineage: Eukaryota; Metazoa; Chordata; Mammalia; Primates; Hominidae. The record is from RNAcentral.